UCUGGCCGGCAUCGUGAGCUGCUGUCAGUUCCCAUUAAGCUUCUAGCACUUACGUUUUCCAUCCGGGGCGUUCCCAAUCCUCCUAUCUCCUUGUUGUCCUUGGUGCUAGGCGUGGCAGGCAGGUGGCGGCGUUUCCUUCUGCUACCCUCCAUAUUCCCAGCCAAGGAGUGUUUUACCCACCACUCUGACGACGAUGGCAUCCCUUACAAAGUUCCUCAUUGAAAAUCCUGGCACCUAAAGACACAGGCCUCCGAGAGAGCCCCGCGGCCUCUGAACAAAGUACUUAAGUUUGCACUAAACGCCUGGAACCUAUUCAGAUGGUGUUCUUUGUCUCCUACUUGCCUGAACCAAGAGAAGAACCAUCCAAGGCAAAUGACAAUUGCAGCAAAGCAACACACACUCAGGAGAGAAUGCUGUGCUGCCUCUUCCUCAGUCAGUACAGAACACUGAACAACUAAACUAUACUAUGACUCAGGUGCUUGGCCAGGUGGCACACAGCAAAGGCCAUAGUAUCUUCCAGUCAUCAUUUAUACCUGCCAUUAUUUGUCUGUGAACAGCCCUUAAUAAAUGCCAGCAUGUGGGA
This is a long non-coding RNA of Jaculus jaculus (lesser Egyptian jerboa), 583 nucleotides long. RefSeq lists it as uncharacterized. NCBI's taxonomy places the organism in Eukaryota, Metazoa, Chordata, Mammalia, Rodentia, Dipodidae. The record is from RefSeq and is a predicted model, not a curated record. The transcript is spliced from 2 exons.